GACGAACGCUGGCGGCGUGCUUAACACAUGCAAGUCGAACGGAAAGGCCCUGCUUUUGUGGGGUGCUCGAGUGGCGAACGGGGGAGUAACACGUGAGUAACCUGCCCUUGACUUUGGGAUAACUUCAGGAAACUGGGGCUAAUACCGGAUAGGAGCUCCUGCUGCAUGGUGGGGGUUGGAAAGUUUCGGCGGUUGGGGAUGGACUCGCGGCUUAUCAGCUUGUUGGUGGGGUAGUGGCUUACCAAGGCUUUGACGGGUAGCCGGCCUGAGAGGGUGACCGGCCACAUUGGGACUGAGAUACGGCCCAGACUCCUACGGGAGGCAGCAGUGGGGAAUAUUGCACAAUGGGCCGAAGCCUGAUGCAGCACCGCCGCGUGCGGGAUGACGGCCUUCGGGUUGUAAACCGCUUUCGCCUGUGCCGAAGCGUGCGUGACGGUAAUGGGUAAAGAAGCACCGGCUAACUACGUG
Molecule: ribosomal RNA, 468 nt
Filed under: uncultured bacterium
Lineage: Bacteria
Description: partial 16S ribosomal RNA
Rfam family: Bacterial small subunit ribosomal RNA
Source: RNAcentral